Molecule: transfer RNA, 76 nt
Filed under: Chloroflexota bacterium
Lineage: Bacteria; Bacillati; Chloroflexota
Description: Chloroflexi bacterium tRNA-Ala
Rfam family: tRNA
About the family: Transfer RNA (tRNA) molecules are approximately 80 nucleotides in length. Their secondary structure includes four short double-helical elements and three loops (D, anti-codon, and T loops).
Source: RNAcentral
GGGGAUGUAGCUCAGCUGGGAGAGCACCUGCCUUGCAAGCAGGGGGUCAGCGGUUCGAUCCCGCUCAUCUCCACCA